UGUCCGACCAAUUCACCUCCAACAACACCACCGUCCUCCUCGGUGUCGACGAUAUGGACCCGCUGAAAGGCAUCACACUCAAAUUCUUAGCAUUCGAGCAGCUCCUGGACGAGCAUCCUAGCCGGCGUGGGCGGACGGUGCUAGUCCAAAUCGCCAACCCCGCCCGCUCGCAGGGGAAGGACAUACAACAAGUGCAGGAGGAGACUCACCAAACAGCGGCUCGCAUAAACGCCCGCUUUGGCACACCUGGCUACAAUCCAAUCAUAUUAAUAAACCGCUAUGUUCCGACACAUGAGAAAUCGGCUUACUAUGCGAUUGCUGAGUGUAUCGUGGUCAGUGCGGUGCGCGACGGGCUCAAUUUGGUCCCGUACAAGUAUACGGCGUGCCGGCAGAGGAGCCCGGCUCUUGAGGGGAAGCCGAAGAAGAGUGUGAUUAUAGUUUCGGAGUUCAUCGGUUGCUCGCCUUCUCUCAGCGGUGCUAUUCGUGUGAAUCCUUGGAAUAUUGAUGCGAUGGCUGAGGCGAUGAACCAAGCAUUGAAAAUGCCUGAGGCUGAGAAGCAGCUGCGGCAUGAGAAGCAUUACAAGUAUGUGAGUUCUCAUGAUGUUGCGUAUUGGGCGCGGUCGUUCGAUCAGGAUCUGCAGCGGGCUUGCAGGGAUCAUUUCUCGAAGAGGUGUUGGGGGAUUGG
RNAcentral lists this unclassified non-coding RNA (685 nucleotides) under Hevea brasiliensis (rubber tree). Lineage: Eukaryota; Viridiplantae; Streptophyta; Magnoliopsida; Malpighiales; Euphorbiaceae. The record is from RNAcentral.